GCCUCCGCGCCCGCUUAAGCUGCCGGUCGGCUCCAGGGGCCCCGGACUCCCGCUGACUCUCGGCCGGCGUGGACUAGCCGCCGCCCUUUCUUCUCACCCCGGAGCCGUGGGCGUUGGAGCGGCUGCGAUGAACCCGGUGAAUGCCACUGCUCUUUACGUGUCAGCGAGCCGCCUGGUGCUCAACUACGACCCCGGCGACCCCCAGGCCUUCUCCGAGGUCACCAAGCUCCUGCCUUACUUCCGACAGUCCCUCUCCUGCUGUGUUUGCGAGUCAUGAAGAUGUUUGUGUGACUCCCAAAUGGUUCCAAGUUCCAAGGCUCUCAGGUGCCUGGAAAUGGAAGAGGAAGGUGUCCCACUGAUUGCCUUCUUGCACUCCAGAGAUCCUUGCUGGGGUUCUCAGGUUCCUCCUUGAGGUGCUGGAGACACUGAGGCUGACCAUGCUGGCUAACAUCCAUACCCACGCAGAGGAUUCUUCUCUUGGAUUGAUUCAGGAAUUAAUGCCUGCCAUAUGUGUAGCUGUUGUAGGUGGCUGCUGCCUUAAUCCAUGCUGGCCACAUUUUAGUUCCUGUGUCAGUCUCAACUCAGACACUUGAUAAUGCAGGAUUAUACCAUUGUAAUGGACUGACCAUUACAUUCUAUAGUUUGAGGGUGAAGUAUUUCUGUCCUGUUGUAGAGAUGGGAGCUGAAGAAUCUGUUUUGAGGAAAGGAUUCUUUUCUGCCUAAACAGAGCAUAAAAUAAACAAUUAUUUAAAUCAUACUUGGUCAGAUUUAGCAAAAGACUAUAGCCAUCUAGUAGUCUCCUUACUUGGUUCAUUAGUAAAACCAGAGUAACCUGUGAGAACAAAGCCCAAGAAGAGUGCAUUUGGGGGUCACUGAUUAUCAUGGACAGAAGAUGAAGUCCCCACCAUUGUAAACCAUCAACAACCAUCAGUCAUAUUACCACUUUUAAGAUCUAUGAAAUCUAACCAAUUCCAUCAGUCUUCUGGCAGGUCACCAAAACAGAUCAUAAUCUUCCGUCUCCCCUGACUGUGUCAUAGGAUACCAUAACUUUUCUGGGUGGUGAACUGCCUAGCUAAUCCAAGAUGCCAACACCUUACACAUUUUUGGCAAUGAAUUCAUCUUUAAACCUUUCAGCGCUAGAUUUCAUUCUGCACCGUCGUCUUGGUCUUUGAGUUCCUGAAUAUUUUAACCUUUUAGUAAUACUGAACUCCAUCUCUCUUCUCCUGUGCAUUUUAGGAGAGAAGUUUAUUUAUUGUUGUAAUAUUGUGGAGAUAGCUAUUUAAUUUUGAUGGAAUGAGAACCCUUUUUGUUUUAUGCGAUUUCAGAGUACCCAGAUAACAUGAUGCAAACUUUGAAUGUCUUAGGAGUCAUUUUAAAGUACCAGUAUUUAACUCUCAAAAAGUAUUUACUUCAUUUAAAACUUUCAGAACAUGUUCUAGCCGUCAGUAGGACAGCCACAAACAUUAAUUGAAUGCAUUAACUACAUAUAGUGCUUUGAAAUCUAUAACAAAAAUAAAUUAAUGUUGCUAAUUACAAUAAAUGUAUGAAUUUUCAAAGAGAUUUAAUUAUACAUAAAGAAUGAAGAGGUAAACUACUACAAAGAGUGACACACACGUCAACUUCAGAUCAAGAAUGUGUUUAAUGACUUAAUUCAAAAACAGUUUGAAUUUUCAAAAAAAAAUUCUCUUUUGUUAUCAGAGUAAAUCUGGCAGAUUUUGAACUAAUUUUGUCAACCCAAAAAUUAGAUGUUAAAUCAAUAUUGAAUGGCUUUCUAAAACAGGGAUCGGCAACCUUUGGCACGUGGCUCGCCAGGGUAAAGCCACAUCCCUCGGCCCUUGCGGCUUCCCGCAGCCUCCAUUGGCCUGGAGCGGCGAACCGCGGCCCACGCGAUCAGCCAAACCUGC
Molecule: non-coding RNA, 1904 nt
Organism: Chelonoidis abingdonii (Abingdon island giant tortoise)
Lineage: Eukaryota; Metazoa; Chordata; Testudines; Testudinidae
Source: RefSeq, a predicted model, not a curated record